CAGCAGAAUCAUUAUUGCUGCUUUCAUUGUUAUUGAAUAAAGUGAAUACAGACAUGUUUGCCGAAUUCCCAGUAUUUAUUGCAAUUUCAGUAGAGCUAUCACAAUGUUCAUUUGUAAAAUAUCUGAUGCUGCAAACUGAUGAUCUUGGAAAAUUUGUCUGUUAACAGGCCAAAUAUCAUGUGCACGGAAAGUGUGGGUUGCUUACCCAAUGUCUUCACUUCAUUUCCAACAGCAUUUUUUCUAUCAGCAUAUCUCUUAAUAGUUGCUUUGGUAGAUUAUAAAUAUGGCUAUACUCAUUCAGACCAGUAUCAGCAUUCCUAUAAACUGCAACAGCCAUUAAUAAAUCUCUUUUGGACCAAUAUCUGUGAUGUCCUCUUUUAGCUAUAAGUCCCCUAUAAAAAAAUAAAAUUUAAUUCGGAGUUAUAUUUAUAUAUUGCCUAAAUUAGUUUGGUCCAAUUGAGGCAACCAUAAUAUGGUCCAACCUGAGUGCAUCUGGCAGAUAUGUCAAAACAUGCUACAUAACACUAAUGUUAACUAAUAAUAAUGAAACUAUUACAGUAAUUUGAAUAAAAAUAAAUUAGCAUUCUGAAGAAAUAAUAUCAUUUGUUCGUACUUACUUAAAGCUGACUGAGACACAACUUACAUGUUUUUUAAAUUAUUUGAUUUACAGCUGUCUAAAUACAAAAUCUCUUCUAUAACUUCUCUCACAUGUAGUUCUUUAAUACUAAUGAAUGCAGCAUCAUGAUUUAUAUAAAUGUUCAGUGUGUGACCAAU
RNAcentral lists this long non-coding RNA (774 nucleotides) under Androctonus crassicauda. Lineage: Eukaryota; Metazoa; Arthropoda; Arachnida; Scorpiones; Buthidae. The record is from RNAcentral.